RNAcentral lists this ribosomal RNA (468 nucleotides) under uncultured bacterium. RNAcentral's name for it is "partial 16S ribosomal RNA". It matches the Rfam family "Bacterial small subunit ribosomal RNA", at positions 28 to 507 of the family's 1533-position model. The record is from RNAcentral.
GAUGAACGCUGGCGGCGUGCUUAACACAUGCAAGUCGAACGGAAAGGCCCUGCUUUUGUGGGGUGCUCGUUUGGCGAACGGGUGAGUAACACGUGUGUAACCUGCCCCUGUCUUUGGGAUAACUUCAGGAAACUGGGGCUAAUACCGGAUAGGAGCUCCUGCUGCAUGGUGGGCGUUGGAAAGUUUCGGCGGUUGGGGAUGGACUCGCGGCUUAUCAGCUUGUUGGUGGGGUAGUGGCUUACCAAGGCUUUGACGGGUAGCCGGCCUGAGAGGGUGACCGGCCACAUUGGGACUGAGAUACGGCCCAGACUCCUACGGGAGGCAGCAGUGGGGAAUAUUGCACAAUGGGCGGAAGCCUGAUGCAGCAACGCCGCGUGCGGGAUGACGGCCUUCGGGUUGUAAACCGCUUUCGCCUGUGACGAAGCGUGAGUGACGGUAAUGGGUAAAGAAGCACCGGCUAACUACGUG